UUUCUAAGAUUAAGCCAUGCAGAGUUCUGCAACAAGAACCGAUAGCUCAGUAAAACCAGGUUAUUUGCUCUCGGCGGACGAUAACCACGUGAAAACGCGGCUAAGGACAGAGAAUAAGACCUGGCACCAUCAGCUAGUUGGCAGUGUAAAGGACUACCAAGGCGGCGACGGUUGACGGGAUACGAGAGUGUUAUGCCGGAGAGGAAGCCUGAGAGACUGCUUCCACGUUCAUGGACGGCAGCAGGCGCGAAAAUUGUCCACUCUUUGCAGGAGACAGUUAUGAGGAGUACGAGCGAUAGGCCCUGCAAAGACGGGUGCUAGAAUUGGAGGGCAAGUUUGGUGCCAGCAGCCGCGGUAAUACCAACUCCAAGAGUGUGUAUGAGAGUUGUUGUGGUUAAAAGGUCCGUAGUCGUUAAGCUAAACAAGGCGUGGCCUGGGGCGAGUUUGGAGGGGCUGGUUGGGGCCGCAGUAUACAGGGGCGAGAGAUGAAAUGCCAAGACCCCCUGUGGACUCGGCGAGGCGAAGGCGGCGGCCCGGCAAGUGCUCGAUGAUCAAGGACGAAGGGUGGAGGAUCGAAGGUGAUUAGAUACCGCUGUAGUUCCACCAGUAAAAGAUGCCGACUAUUCCGGCCCGGCGGGCCGGGAACAGGGAAACCGAUAAGUGUCUGGGCUCCGGGGAUAGUACGCUCGCAAGGGUAAAAAUUAAAGAAAUUGACGGAGCUACACCACAAGGAGUGGAUUGUGCGGCUUAAUUUGACUCAACGCGAGGAAGCUUACCAGGCCCUUGCGCGCCGGAGAGACGAGGCGCGCAGGAGUGGUGCAUGGUCGUUGGAAAUUCAUGGGAUGACUUUGAGCUUCAAUGCUUGAAUGAGUGAGACCCGGAGACGGCCUGCGCAAGCAGGAGGACGGCGGGGCAAUAACAGAUCAGUGAUGCCCUUCGAUGGCCUGGGCUGCACGCGCAAUACAAUAGGCAGCACGGCGACAAGCGGAAAGCGCCUCAGAUGGACUGCCGGCUGUAAGCCCGGCACGAAAGCGGAAUUCCUAGUAGGCGCGCGGCACCAGCGCGUGCCGAAUGC
Molecule: ribosomal RNA, 1075 nt
Filed under: Microsporidium sp. 1154
Lineage: Eukaryota; Fungi; Microsporidia
Description: SSU rRNA
Rfam family: Microsporidia small subunit ribosomal RNA
Source: RNAcentral